Molecule: long non-coding RNA, 237 nt
Filed under: Mytilus galloprovincialis (Mediterranean mussel)
Lineage: Eukaryota; Metazoa; Mollusca; Bivalvia; Mytilida; Mytilidae
Source: RNAcentral
GGGCGAAGUGACUAAAAAUUGGCGAGCGGAGCGAGGCGAAAAAUUUUUGGGACUUUUUAGACUAAAAGCAUAAAAUUAGUGUAAAAUGCACUUUUUAAGCGUUUCUUGACUUUGGACAUGUAUAUUUUAUAGUUGCUGUAAAGUGUAAGAGUUGGACAUUUUUUAUGCCGUAUUCUCCACAUUAAUUGUCUAUUAUAAAAUGAUGGGAUGGAUCCAAAGCUAUGUACUAAUAUAUUU